RNAcentral lists this transfer RNA (65 nucleotides) under Helota thoracica. RNAcentral describes it as "tRNA-Ser". RNAcentral also lists the same sequence under 1 other name. The record is from RNAcentral. Lineage: Eukaryota; Metazoa; Arthropoda; Insecta; Coleoptera; Helotidae.
AAUUAAUGAACUUGUAUAAGUAUAUACCUUGAAAGUAUAAAAAAGAGUAAAUCCUCUAUUAAUUU